This is a long non-coding RNA of Xenopus tropicalis (tropical clawed frog), 173 nucleotides long. RefSeq lists it as uncharacterized. NCBI's taxonomy places the organism in Eukaryota, Metazoa, Chordata, Amphibia, Anura, Pipidae. The record is from RefSeq and is a predicted model, not a curated record. The transcript is spliced from 3 exons.
GCAAGUGAAACAUUAGGGACACAGAGGAGACUCCUGAUGGUUCUGGUGACCCUGCUGGUUCUUGUCUUCAUGUUCCUGAUAAUCCUGACCUGCCUCAUGUUUAUAUACUAUUCUACAGUGAGCCGGCAGCUACAGCAGGAACAUAAGGACAAAGCCAACUUUCUAACACAAAU